Molecule: ribosomal RNA, 497 nt
Filed under: uncultured bacterium
Lineage: Bacteria
Description: partial 16S ribosomal RNA
Rfam family: Bacterial small subunit ribosomal RNA
Source: RNAcentral
GAUGAACGCUGGCGGCGUGCCUAAUACAUGCAAGUCGAGCGAACAGACGAGGAGCUUGCUCCUCUGACGUUAGCGGCGGACGGGUGAGUAACACGUGGAUAACCUACCUAUAAGACUGGGAUAACUUCGGGAAACCGGAGCUAAUACCGGAUAAUAUAUUGAACCGCUUGGUUCAAUAGUGAAAGACGGUUUUGCUGUCACUUAUAGCUGGAUCCGCGCCGCAUUAGCUAGUUGGUAAGGUAACGGCUUACCAAGGCAACGAUGCGUAGCCGACCUGAGAGGGUGAUCAGCCACACUGGAACUGAGACACGGUCCAGACUCCUACGGGAGGCAGCAGUAGGGAAUCUUCCGCAAUGGGCGAAAGCCUGACGGAGCAACGCCGCGUGAGUGAUGAAGGUCUUCGGAUCGUAAAACUCUGUUAUUAGGGAAGAACAAAUGUGUAAGUAACUAUGCACGUCUUGACGGUACCUAAUCAGAAAGCAACGGCUAACUACGUG